UAUAACUCUAUUUUUCAGUUUUCUGAUACAAUGUUUUAACGCUUCGUCUUAUUUAAAAUAUUUUUGUGAUUAAUAUUUUUAUUGUUACUAAAUGAAAAAUAUUAAUAAUAUUUUAUGCGUGACUAAUUUAAAGUUUUUUAUAAAUUUUUCAAAUAAGACGAAUGAUCAAAUAUUGGGCACAUAAAAACGAAAAAUGAAGUUAUU
Molecule: microRNA precursor, 204 nt
Filed under: Oryza brachyantha (malo sina)
Lineage: Eukaryota; Viridiplantae; Streptophyta; Magnoliopsida; Poales; Poaceae
Description: MIR812 microRNA precursor family
Rfam family: MIR812 microRNA precursor family
Source: Rfam by way of RNAcentral